This is a long non-coding RNA of Cydia fagiglandana, 1686 nucleotides long. RefSeq lists it as uncharacterized. The record is from RefSeq and is a predicted model, not a curated record. The transcript is spliced from 4 exons. NCBI's taxonomy places the organism in Eukaryota, Metazoa, Arthropoda, Insecta, Lepidoptera, Tortricidae.
AAAACAUACGCAACUGCACAAGAUUGUGAAAAGGACAAACAACAAUAGCGCUUUCGCCGCCACUCCCACCGAAAAAUACAUAAGACUAUCCCGUUCUGUCACCUAGUGACAGUAGCGCCACAAUUACGAUCGUGUAAGUAAAUUCAUUUUUACAAACGGGCCUCCGCGUGCUUACGCAAUGCGACGAAAUUCAAAACCACGUUCUUAAAGCCCCUACAAUACUCGAAACACAAUCUACGCAAUUUGGUCGGGUUCAUUUGUUUACCUAUGAAUGAAUUUUAGUGAACUCGGCAAGUGUCCAAUAAUUUAUGUGAAUAAUACAAAAUUGAAAUGAAAACGCUUAUAUGUUAUCAUUUAAGUUUUUAUUUUUAUGAAGAAUGAUUUGAAUGAUAAAACGCAUUUUUACAAUGUGAAAAACUAAAUAAUCGAUCUAUUGAUUGAUCCAAACCAUAAGCUAUCUAGACUGAAUGUUCUAUAACUUCUACAUUUGGCGAUCUGAAAUUUUGUCUAUGGCAAUUUUACCAACUGUCAAUCUCCUAAGUUCCGUUGUAGGUUGUAUUUUUUCAUGCAAAAAGAUGCUUUAACAAAUAUCAACGCAAAAUUAUAUCACUGAGCUAAAUUUAAAGACGGUACGAUAAAAAGAAAGUCUCCGAGAGCGCCCAUAAUGAUUUCCAUCUAUCAAAGAACCUACAAGAUGAAGAAAAUGGAAUUCAGACCAUCACACGAAUUUGCUUCUACUUAUUUCAUAAAACUAAAUGGUCAGGAAACCUAGUGUCCGUAUUUCUGGUCCAGCGUACUUAUUUACUUAUUUAUUUUACGUGCCUAAGUAUCGACAAUGCGAGUGUGACAGUGUCAGUGAAAUAAAUCCAAAGUUGGGAAUCGUUUCUACAAACAAGGUAAGAUUAUGUUCUUACUUCUUCUUUAGACAAGUUACUGCUAUCAAGACCCUGUUAAAUACUCUUGAAUAUCACCAAUCAGGAAAUAAUUGUUCGCAAUUUGCCCUUACUAUCAUUAAAUUUGUUUUUCUUACUGACUAUAUAUGGCAAUUAAAAUUUUCUUAACGUAGACGCCUAGUUGUAAUUGUAUUUGAAAUGUAAUUGUAUUUCCUUAUUUUUACCGUCUGUUCAGCAAUAUAAACACAUUUCUUUUUGAAAAACCAAGGAUCAAAGUUAAAUUUGUAUAAAAAAAUGACGUGUUGAUUUUCGUUUUACUCUGACUAACCAACAUAAUAUUAAUCUUCCACUACACUAUUUGUAUUACAAUAAGAUUUAAAAGCUAUAUUUGAUGUUUCAGUAAGCUGACAACUACAUUUAAAAGAUUCCCUGUGCCUGAUAUAAACAACUGUUAUCGAAGAGAAAUAAGUAGAAAUUAUGGUGUGGAAAACUCCAUUUGCUGAUUUUGAAGAAUGUUUCCUGACCCUUACAAACAAAACCAACUCCGAUGACUGCCGCUAACCGGUGACAUUGACAAAUUCUCACUGUUGCCCACAAAGGCCCCUCCGAGUGCUUCUACACUACCCUAUGUUACCCGGAGGCUGACUUUCUCCCGGAGUGUCAAGGUGCCUUCACUGUACAUCUACUGGCUGCUUCCAUUUAUGACAGUCUACCAAGACAAUGCUGAUACAUGAAGACUUCUGUUUGCUGGCUUCAUCUCAAGAAUUUUGCUGCAAAAAUGGCUGCUGUCUAC